This 1224-nucleotide long non-coding RNA is filed under the name Crocodylus porosus (Australian saltwater crocodile). RNAcentral describes it as "lncRNA (ENSCPRG00005002059.1)". Lineage: Eukaryota; Metazoa; Chordata; Crocodylia; Crocodylidae. The record is from RNAcentral.
UGUCUGAAUAUUCCUCAUGCUGUUUCAUAUCUGGAUAUCAUAGGCCACUUACUGUUGUUGAUAAAAUGCUUUGCAUAUUUGAGUAUUACAGUAAUCAUCACCACCAUAAUCUUGGGCUGGUCCAGAGCAUAUAUUUAGAGCACUGUAGUGCCUGGUCACUGUCAGAGCAACUAUUUGCCCGGCUGGUUUCAAGCUGACAGUCAGAACACUGUGAACCUUGAGAGGAACAAAAAGACAACAGCAAGCAAAAGAGAUAUCAGCAGGGUGGAAAGCUAUGCAAAUCAGCAGCGCAGCCCAUUUGCCGCAGAUCACAACAAUGAGCUCAGAUGCGCUGGAAACUUAGCGGCUUCAAGAGUUCAAAGACUCAGACUGGAAAACCACCUUCAAUUCUGGGACUAUUUUCAUUUUCACUUCUGAAAACAUUACAUGGGAAAGGAAGAUGUGUGAGAUUGUAGUGUAUUCUGUCUAGUUUCACAGGACUACUCCAGAUACGUCUGCAAUCAUGAAGUAUAAGCUGCAGAAACAAGAACUUUAUGAGAAAGAGAACUUUAUUCAUCUUCAGCAGAUGCAUAUCAUAUUGAUGUGUAACCCAGAUUGGGACCUCAUCAGGAAAAAAAAUAGCCUGAGGCGUGGGUGGGUUCUUCAGGAAUUUCACUACUGCUUUUGCAUAUCCAGGGGAAAGAUCUUGAAUAAUUGCCCUGAAGUCAAAAGGAAUUGCUCCAGAUUUAGGAUUGCAAAAUAAGGACCCUUAAAUACUAAAGAAUUAUAAUAGGAUAGUGUGGAAAACAAUUCUGUAAUUUUUAAUGUUGUGUGAAUUUAAGAGAGAACAUGCUUUUCUGUAAUUUUUUGAUGCUGCUAUAUCACUGUACAUACCUAGAUAAUGCUCCUUCUAUUUACAGCACUUAGUUCCAGGAACUCCUGCAUAGCACUGUCGCUACCAAAAGGGAAAUUAAUACCAGUGGAUAUGUAUACGUAAAUACACAUUUUGUGAUGUUUAGCAUUUUUUUAGCAUAUAAACUUUUAUUUGUCCUGAAAAAAGAUCAGCCUGUUUCUUAAACUUCAUAAACAUAUGUUUUUUGUGAGCAACUUUACAGCAGGUUUGCUUUAAUUGGUUAUGAGCAAGAAAUCAACUGUAUUUUUGGCCAUUAGAACCAUACUUCACUAUCUUUAAAAAAAGCUUUUUUUAAUCAGAUUUUAAAAUAAAGUUCUGCUAAAAGAUGUGCA